Molecule: ribosomal RNA, 448 nt
Filed under: uncultured Desulfuromonas sp.
Lineage: Bacteria; Pseudomonadati; Thermodesulfobacteriota; Desulfuromonadia; Desulfuromonadales; Desulfuromonadaceae
Description: bacterial SSU rRNA
Rfam family: Bacterial small subunit ribosomal RNA
Source: RNAcentral
GGAGCAUGUGGUUAAUUCGACGCAACGCGCAGAACCUACCUGGGCUUGACAUCCCGAUCGCACCUUUUGGAAACUUAAGGGUCAGUUCGGCUGGAUCGGUGACAGGUGCUGCAUGGCUGUCGUCAGCUCGUGUCGUGAGAUGUUGGGUUAAGUCCCGCAACGAGCGCAACCCUCGUCCUUAGUUGCCAGCAUUCAGUUGGGCACUCUAAGGAGACUGCCGGUGUUAAACCGGAGGAAGGUGGGGAUGACGUCAAAUCAUCAUGCCCCUUAUGACCUGGGCUACAAACGUGAUACAAUGGCUGAAACAAAGGGCAGCGAAGGAGCGAUCUGGAGCGAAACCCAAAAAAGCAGUCUCAGUUCGGAUUGAAGUCUGCAACUCGACUUCAUGAAGUCGGAAUCGCUAGUAAUCGCGGAUCAGAACGCCGCGGUGAAUACGUUCUCGGGGUUU